This is a non-coding RNA of Pelobates cultripes (western spadefoot toad), 209 nucleotides long. The record is from the annotation of a GenBank genome assembly. Lineage: Eukaryota; Metazoa; Chordata; Amphibia; Anura; Pelobatidae.
GUCCCACUGAAACCGAGAAAGAGAGUCAGCUACCACGUUGUGAACACCCGGGACAUGACAAGCUCUAACCCAAACAUUGAACUUUAAGGAAAGAAGUACCAACCGUCGCAGUAGCGCAAGAACUGGAGGGGAACUGGAGGUUGAACGGUUUAUCACAUGGACAACACUCAUGUUGUCCGUGUGAAAAACUACAGUCCUGUUGGCCAGAG